UGCUAUUGCGAAUUGACCUGA
Molecule: non-coding RNA, 21 nt
Filed under: Caenorhabditis elegans
Lineage: Eukaryota; Metazoa; Nematoda; Chromadorea; Rhabditida; Rhabditidae
Source: RNAcentral